Molecule: long non-coding RNA, 4076 nt
Organism: Triticum dicoccoides
Lineage: Eukaryota; Viridiplantae; Streptophyta; Magnoliopsida; Poales; Poaceae
Exons: 6
Source: RefSeq, a predicted model, not a curated record
CGUGGAAGCUUGCUAUCCAUGUGCCAGAGCCAUGAGUUGGUUGCGAGAUCUUAUGGGUUUCACCUCUAGCCUACCCCAACUUGUUUGGGACUAAAGGCUUUGUUAAAUAUCAAUUUUCUCUAUCCAUGUUGCCAGACCUGAAGGAUUUGAGUUGUUGUUGUUGUGUUAAAUAUCAAUUUUGACGGGCCACUUAUGAUGUAUGUUCAACAAUUCAGUAUUAUAUUUUCUCUGAAACAAUUCGUUUCCUAUUAGUUUUCCUCUUGCGUUGUUCAUUUUGUUCAGGCAUCAAAUUUGUUGGUAUGCUCCGCCUAGUCAUUCUUAGUUCUAGUCAAUCUAGAUUAUCAUUGGUUACAGUCUGUUUUAGUCAGAAUUAGCUUUUUUUACUUAGUUCUAGCCAUACUAGAUACUAGAUGUGCUCUGCUUAUUUCCUAUCUAGUUCUAGUUCAGACCAGAUGAAAAAAGGGAAUGAACAAUGUUUCCAGAUCUCCUAUGCUUAGUCAUACAUAGUUCUGGUCAGACUAUAUCAUCUUAAGUUUUGCAGUUUGUACUAGUUAGACUAGUAGUACAUUAGAAGCUAUCUUCAGUCUGCCUGACAGAUAUCCAAACUUAGGUGGAAUUCUAGUCUUGUUCAGUAUCUAUAUUUAAUAUAUAUUUUUGGUUUCUAUCUAGGAUUGUCCAGAUUUGAAUCACAAUUCAAAACCAUAACAGAUAAUAACUUGUCAGUAUUGGUGUUAUCUGAUAAACUGUUCGAAUGGAGAGGCGCUGGGAUCAAGGGGGCGCUCCUGCUGUCUCCGGUCAGCAUGAUGGCCCCCCUAUGGUCGAGUUGCCUUCUCCGUUAUCGGCGGCCGGAGCUGCGCUGCGUGAGAUGGAAGCCCCGUAAUUUUCCUUCCCCUUUCUUUUUCCCAGUAGUUCCUGCUGACCCGGGUGGUCUUUCUAUGUAUGCUGAACCAUGUAACUGUACUUUUCGCUCCUACCUUAAUAUAAAUGAAAGCAGCGCUGUUGCUCUUUGUAAAGAAAAAAGUUCAGAUAGUCGACUCAGCAGUUAAUGUUCAGAGAGCAUGCAUCAUUGUUCUGUUCAUUCUUUCAGAUGAUAUUAUCUUAUUUGGUAUCUUUUCAAUUUCUUUCUUUACUCUUUCUGGUCCAAGCGUGAGUUACGUAACACUAGACAGUCCUGCAUUAUUUAGCCAGUCUAUUUAAUGCAUUGUAUUUUUCUUUCUCAGUCCCAGUAUGUCAGUUUAAUUCAUCUAUCAUUUGGUUUAUCAGUAAAAUUUCUUUAGUCAUCAGUAUUUUUGUUGCUUUAUUAUUUUCUGGAUUUCAUUGUCUCAUUGUUACUUAAGUACUUGAGUCUUCAGACUCAUUCUUUGAAAUUCAGUUUAUUGAUCUUCAGUGCACAUGUUUAUUCAUUAUUUCAGUAAGGCCCUUCUCACUGGUCAGAUUUUCAUUUUUCAAGCUCCUACUUAUCAGUCAUUCCUGAGUCUAUCAGGUUUCUUCAUUUUUUAUUUCUUUCCUUCAGUAUAUAUGUCCUCAGUUUUCUUCAGUUUCGGAUUUCUGUAUUUGGUCCUUAAAUUUUAAAAUCACUCAUUCUCCAGUCUUUCAGUCUUACCUUCUCAGUCAUCUUCAAUAUUCAUUGAACAUCAAGGCUAUGCGAUCAGGUCAGGUUUGGGCAAAGGUUUUUCCAGUGUUCGUUUUUUGCGUUCUGUCGCUAUCUAGGAUUAUUCAGAUUUUCCCUUUUUUUAGAUAACAUCGCCACAACUUUGUCAUUAUUAUUGUUCCUCACAUGAGGAUUUGGUUUUUCAGUUUCGUCAAUAGUUUCAGUGUUAGGUGUCAUUUUCAUCAGUUUCCUCAGUAGUUUCAGUGUUCGGUGUCAUUUUCUUCAGUUUCGUCAAAAGUUUCAGUGCUAGGUGUCAUUUUCUUCAGUUGUGUGAGUUACCACAUAGGUAGGUUAGUUAGCUAGUUUAGCAUGUUUUCAGACAGUUUUCAGUCUAUCUACAUCUCUCAUUUCAGUACUUUAGUCUUCAUUUUAUUUCUUCACAAUAAUUUCUUUUUCAGCCCUUCUUUUGCCAGUUUUUAUUUCUUCCUUUCCAGAUCGGAUCAGAUACACGCUAGAAAUGGAUUAAAUGGGGGUGUCGGUGUCGUCGAAUCCUACCACGAUCAGAUACAUGCUUGAAAGUCAGAGAUACAACUCUUACAGCAAAAUCAUUUUUGUGGGUCUGCGCCAAUAACCCGCUGAAAUCCGUGUCGGUUCUAGUGACUGUAGCAGCAAGAAGGAGCUGCCUGUUUGCGGGGUGGGGUCUCAAGACUGAGCUUUUUGGGCUUGAAGGUUAGGUCAAUUUUUGGGCAUUCAGUUCAGUUCAAUUAUGGGAGAUCAUCGUGCCCCUCAGCGUGGAUUGAUUAACACUUCAAAGGAAGAACCAGGAGGAUCUAUUCAUCUGCAUAUCUGUUGAAGGCUCUGAAGUGCAACUAACAAAUUAUUGCAAAGCCAUCAGUUGGUGCAUGAUGUCAUCCACUAUUUGCAGAUUAUAUGUCAACUAUUUACUGCCGCCCCGCAGACGUUUUAAUUUAUUUGAUCCAAGUUCUGAACUGACUUCCUGUCAGCUUGCCACUCGAGAUUGUCAGCCCUUCCAAAUAGCAGCAUGGGGUUCAAGCACAGCACUUUGUACAUCAAUCAAGCUCAAACCACAUUUAUGAUGUGAAAGUGCCGCAGAAGACUGAAAUGUACAAGAUGUGUGCUCUGCUAUCCAACUGACAUACAGAGGUCAGUCUCGACCAGUCCAGAUCCUUGACAACUAAGCAUUUAUACCAACUUUUCCAACUUUGCUUUCAGUUCUGUACCCAUUUGCCCUCUAUUUCCCCUUCAGUCCCUUCUGUCUUUACUUCUUUGGGGGAAAGCACUAGAAUUAGCUUCACUUUUACGUGCCAAAGACGUAUAUAUAUACCCUGGUAUCUAAUUGGUUUCUUCUAAAACAUCAUGCCGUGUCUUGUUGUCUCGAGUUGAGCUAACUGUGCUUCCUGAAUGGUACACAGCAAGGAGGGGCGUGAUAUGCUUUUUACGCUGCGUAUUUGAUCGAUCUGGAGAUAAUCUCAAUGAAUGCUGCCUGCAUUAGCUUGAUUUUCUUGGCCUACAGGUUGGUGGCACUGCAAAAGCAGAGUUAGGCAGGUCUGAUUACUAAAGUGUGCUAAUUUGUGGUUAAGGGUGUCGCGUUAGGCACGUCGGUCUGGGUCUGGUGCGGUCGAGAUUAAUUGCCAUUGCUAUCAAGCCUUUCCAAUUAGGUGGGUUGGGUUGAUCCAGGGCCGUGUUUGGUUCAGGCAAAUCCAUCAUUGGAGGCUAUUAAUUGGCAUUAGAUUCUUCUGAUGGGCAGGCCUUGAUCUGUGGGAAGGCGAAGGAGGCCAGCUCUGUAAUGCUUGCUCCAAGGUCGGUCAGUCAAGGUCUUGAAGAGUCUGACGUCGAAUGCACCGUGCCACGGCUAAAAUGGCGUCAUUGCGGUGCUCGGAAAUCUUUGUUCGAUUCAGGUCUCCUGCAAAUGUCAUCGGUGUUUGGUUCCAGAAGACCGAAGUUGCCGGCGACGAAUCCGUCGGGUCUGUUGCAUCUUACACCGGACUAUAUCACCGGUUUUUCUUGAACCUCUUGGUUGAUAACCGUCAAGAUCAAGCCGUGAGGUGCUUCACGGACACGAGUAUAUGCCAUAGACCCCCUCAACAGAAAAGAGAGUAUAUUCCAAAGUCUUCCUCGGAAGUCUUGAUGCUGUCUGGUCCAAAGAUCAACUGUCUCGUCUCAGUCGGCUCGUCCUUGCGUAGGUGCUGCAUCAACAAAGCCUGACCAGUAGCCCCCUGGCUUCUGAUGCAUUCACGAAAGCAGUCGGUGCAACAGCUUUACUGUAACUGGCAAAAGCACGGAAGCUUGUGCUGUAACUUCCUACCAUGAUUAUCUGUAGAAAACAGAUCCAGGAAAAGGCAGAUGAAGGCUGUCAUUGAAGCUCCCAUGCGUUUUGUGAUUUUGGAGAUAAUUCAUGUUCUUUGUAGACCUGGCCAUUAUGUUCAGCUACGUAUAAAGGAACUGUGCUCAUUACUAUGAGGAA